This 440-nucleotide ribosomal RNA is filed under the name uncultured bacterium. RNAcentral's name for it is "partial 16S ribosomal RNA". It matches the Rfam family "Bacterial small subunit ribosomal RNA", at positions 338 to 795 of the family's 1533-position model. The record is from RNAcentral.
CCUACGGGCGACAGCAGUGGGGAAUCUUCCACAAUGGGGGAAACCCUGAUGCAGCGACGCCGCGUGAGCGAUGAAGUACUUCGGUAUGUAAAGCUCUGUCAUCAGGGAAGAAAAUACCUGUACCUGACUAAGCAGCCCCUGCUAAAUACGGACCAGCAGCCGCGGGAAUACGUAGGGGGCACGCGUUAUCCGGAUUUACUGGGUGUAGCGGUAGCGUAGACGGUCCUGCAAGCCAGAUGUGAAAGCCCUGGGCUCAACCCCGGGACUGCAUUGGAAACUGUACGGCUAGAGUGUCGGAGAGGAAGGCGGAAUUCCAAGUGUAGCGGUGAAAUGCGCAGAUAUAAGGAGGAACACCAGUGGCGAAGGCGGCUUGCUGGACGGUAACUGACGCUGAGGUGCGAAAGCGUGGGGAGCAAACAGGAUUAGAUACCCGGGUAGUC